RNAcentral lists this transfer RNA (73 nucleotides) under Stegodyphus mimosarum. It matches the Rfam family "tRNA". From Rfam's summary of the family: Transfer RNA (tRNA) molecules are approximately 80 nucleotides in length. Lineage: Eukaryota; Metazoa; Arthropoda; Arachnida; Araneae; Eresidae. The record is from Rfam by way of RNAcentral.
GCCUUCGCGGUGUAGUGGUCAGCACGCUCGACGUGUAACCGAGAGGUCCGUGGUUCGAUUCCCGGCGAAGGCG